RNAcentral lists this ribosomal RNA (357 nucleotides) under Triticum aestivum (bread wheat). Its description in RNAcentral is "partial small subunit ribosomal RNA". The record is from RNAcentral. Lineage: Eukaryota; Viridiplantae; Streptophyta; Magnoliopsida; Poales; Poaceae.
AUGUCUAGCUCGACUUCGGCCUCCCGCCAAUCAUGGACGCAGUACGGUCCACUGCCAUUGACAAGAUGCCCCGAUUGCCCGCGCAUGGAGCCUCUGAAGCAUUUGACUUGUGUGAGGGAAGAAAAUGGCAACCGUGGGCGCGAGUUUGUGAAAUGCUUGAGCAAGCCACAGCCGGGGCAGGUUCUGAAGAAAUGUGGGCAUUUUGAGUGGCUCGAUGACUAUGUUGAAAGGUUGAAAUUGAAGGGAUCAACCCGAACCCAAGAGCUCAAUUUUGGGGGGCGGCUUGCCGUGGAACAACCCCCCCAAUUUGGCGGACAGAGCCGAUCCGAUGAUGCACAGUGCAAAACUGAAGUGUAA